AACGUAGGUUCCGAGCGUUAUCCGGAUUUACUGGGCGUAAAGCGCGUUCAGGCGGUUUGGCAAGUCGGGCAUGAAAUCCUUCGGCUCAACCGGGGGAGGUUGUCCGAUACUGCUGAACUGGAGGGCAGUAGAGGGUGGUGGAAUUCCGGGUGUAGUGGUGAAAUGCGUAGAGAUCCGGAGGAACACCAGUGGCGAAAGCGGCCACCUGGACUGCACCUGACGCUGAAACGCGAAAACUAGGGGAGCGAACGGG
This 253-nucleotide ribosomal RNA is filed under the name uncultured bacterium. Its description in RNAcentral is "partial 16S ribosomal RNA". It matches the Rfam family "Bacterial small subunit ribosomal RNA", at positions 524 to 776 of the family's 1533-position model. The record is from RNAcentral.